RNAcentral lists this ribosomal RNA (468 nucleotides) under uncultured bacterium. Its description in RNAcentral is "partial 16S ribosomal RNA". It matches the Rfam family "Bacterial small subunit ribosomal RNA", at positions 28 to 507 of the family's 1533-position model. The record is from RNAcentral.
GACGAACGCUGGCGGCGUGCUUAACACAUGCAAGUCGAACGGAAAGGCCCUGCUUUUGUUGGGUGCUCGAGUGGCGAACGGGUGAGUAACACGUGAGUAACCUGCCCUUGACUUUGGGAUAACUUCAGGAAACUGGGGCUAAUACCGGAUAGGAGCUCCUGCUGCAUGGUGGGGGUUGGAAAGUUUCGGCGGUUGGGGAUGGACUCGCGGCUUAUCAGCUUGUUGGUGGGGUAGUGGCUUACCAAGGCCUUGACGGGUAGCCGGCCUGAGAGGGUGACCGGCCACAUUGGGACUGAGAUACGGCGCAGACUGCUACGGGAGGCAGCAGUGGGGAAUAUUGCACAAUGGGCGGAAGCCUGAUGCAGCAACGCCGCGUGCGGGAUGACGGCCUUCGGGUUGUAAACCGCUUUCGCCUGUGACGAAGCGUGAGUGACGGUAAUGGGUAAAGAAGCACCGGCUAACUACGUG